RNAcentral lists this long non-coding RNA (214 nucleotides) under Salvia miltiorrhiza (redroot sage). Its description in RNAcentral is "long non-coding RNA (SMIL_LNC012101)". Lineage: Eukaryota; Viridiplantae; Streptophyta; Magnoliopsida; Lamiales; Lamiaceae. The record is from RNAcentral.
AUAUAUACAACUUUCAAAUAAAACCUUUAAUUAAAUUCAAUCACUAAAAUUGAAGAGGUGAGGUGAUUUUUACCUAUGCUGAAAGAGAAAAAAUAAAAAAUAUUCACUAUAAAACAAAAUUAUUUUCUUGGUCUCCGAAAAACAAUCACAAUAAUGUGAUUGUAUUAUUAUUAUUAUUAUUAUUAUUACAAAUUGAAUCCAGCGUAUUUAAUUU